GCUUACGGCCAUAUCACGUUGAAAGCACCGGUUCUCGUCCGAUCACCGAAGUUAAGCAACGUCUAGCCUAGUUAGUACUUAGAUGGGUGACCGCUUGGGAAACCUAAGUGCUGUUAGCG
RNAcentral lists this ribosomal RNA (119 nucleotides) under Octopus vulgaris (common octopus). The record is from RNAcentral. RNAcentral also lists the same sequence under 1 other name. Lineage: Eukaryota; Metazoa; Mollusca; Cephalopoda; Octopoda; Octopodidae.